This is a long non-coding RNA of Chinchilla lanigera (long-tailed chinchilla), 1265 nucleotides long. RefSeq lists it as uncharacterized. The transcript has 5 exons. Lineage: Eukaryota; Metazoa; Chordata; Mammalia; Rodentia; Chinchillidae. The record is from RefSeq and is a predicted model, not a curated record.
CGGCGCGGUCCGGAGCUGGACCUGGGCCCUCCGCUGCCGCACUGUGGGCGUGGAGCAGCAGCGGGCCUCUCCCUGAGUGACGGCGGGGGUCCUGAUGGACGUCGCGAAGCAACGCACUUAGAAAAAAGAAAAGACGGCCCCUGCAGGCCUGCCUGGUGCCCCGGCGCUGAGCGUGUUUGCCGCCCUCACGCCCGUUCCUUUUUUUGGAAGAACUUUCUUUUAUGCAUGCGAAUCUUUCCUCAAUUACCUGCAUGGAAUGCCAGGCCUCCAAGACCACCUGAGACAGCACAGGCCCUCACUGCUGCUACUCUGCUACUUUCAAAACCCACUAAGCUAUGCAGGAUUUACAAAAGUUUUCAAUGGAAGUGAUCUCCACUGGAGCCUGUAGCAUUAUCCUACACAGACGGGAUUCUCAGGCAGGCUCUCUCCGUGUGCUGGUUCUCUGCAGCUCCAGGAUUCAUCACCAAUCAGUUUAGCAAAAAAUUCACAGAAAAAGGGGGAAAUGUCACUAAUAGUUUGUCUGUGGACUGGCAUUUGGAAAUCACUGGCAUCCAGAGGAUGGGAUAUGUCUAUCCAGUGGAUAUGUAAAAACAGCUACCAUGGAUUUGCAGGAAACACCUAGCAGGAAAGAUGAAUCAUUAAAAUAGCAAACAUCCCUAGACCACUAAUGAAUGGCAAGCCCGCUACACCAGAACUCAGAAGACCUACAGCUGUACAGAAAACCAGAGACCGCAUAUAUAUGGAGAAUGCAAGUUCAUCCUGGCCAGGCCACUGUAGCCCCACUUGAGAGGAACUGCAUCUGAAGAGCUCUCUCAGGAGCACCCUGCACUUCCUAGUCCAUAAAUCAUCUUAAAUAGUUUUUAAAUUUCCAGUGUUUAUGAAAUUUUAAGAAACUAUAUCAAGUGAGGCAUAUUUCCACACAUCUCUGCAUUCACAUCACCUUAAUGUGCGCAUAAAUCCUUACACAACAGGGCUCUCAACUUUACACUGGACUGGGUCCACAGCCAUGACGAAGGCGUUAUGGGCAUCUUUUGGAAACUUACAGGAAAAGACAGGGAGCACCCUGAUUUUCAUGGGCUGAUUGACAUGAAGACCUGUGUUUUGGGCUUUGAGAAGUUUUUAUUGGAAGCAGAGAAUGCAUUGCAUCCAAAAAAUGCAAUGGAUGGCAACUUGUCUCUUUUAUGACCUUGUAAUACAUCAGAACCCUUUGAGAAAAGUGUUUUGGGUGGCAGCAGAAUAAACUACUUUUAUGAGAGAAGACAGUA